AUCACCUGGCACCCCGACUGGGUACCUCCGUUGAAGGAUGCUACUAGUGCUUCCUGAUGACUCCAAUCACUGCAGCAGACACCAUAACCACCAUAAACUCCUUCAAACAGCAAGGCAGGAACAAGCUCUUACAAGAGCUUAGCAGUGAUUUAGCAAGGGAGUAUGACAAGCAUAGCAAUCCCUUGUAGCAGAUUCCCGCAAUAAGAGUCAGAACUCAGAUUGAGAAUGAAGUAGAGCUAACUAAAACUUUAUUUUACUUCGGACUAGCACAUAUGGUCAUUACAUUAACAUUGCUGUGAAAACUCAAUAAAAU
This is a non-coding RNA of Pelobates cultripes (western spadefoot toad), 313 nucleotides long. The record is from the annotation of a GenBank genome assembly. NCBI's taxonomy places the organism in Eukaryota, Metazoa, Chordata, Amphibia, Anura, Pelobatidae.